RNAcentral lists this long non-coding RNA (767 nucleotides) under Rattus norvegicus (Norway rat). RNAcentral's name for it is "long non-coding RNA NONRATT022024". Lineage: Eukaryota; Metazoa; Chordata; Mammalia; Rodentia; Muridae. The record is from RNAcentral.
GAAUUAUUUUGAUUUCAGCAAGUCAAAUUUUGUAAAGGCCUGCAAUUUUUUAUGAUUAUAUGAAGUCUGCAAAAGCUUUAAAAAUGCCUCUGCCUUGCCUGCAAUACAUGCAAUGUAUGUUAACUUAGUCUGUUCUCAGAUACUGUUGGUAGUUACUUCUAUGUUUUCCCCUUUUUAAAGAAAUGUAUUUAUAGUGGUAAUCUAAGAGAUGCUAACAGCUCAGUCGGGGUGGCCGUUCCGUGAUCCUGAGUUGACAGCACUGAACACUGCCAUUUGACAGCUAUGUGCCUCUGCCUGUCCAUCACUUCAUCUGUGUUCCAGGAGUCGUCCAGGUCCCCUCCCCAAGUCUGUACAUAACUUGUAUUAUGUGUAAGUUAAACAUUUUUAAACAUUUUAUGUUUACUUGGAAUGUUCCCAGUGAUUACAUUUAACAGGGUGUUUCCUACCUUGUUGGCAAAUGGCAAAAAAUAUCAUGAGAAUUAUUUGCUACCAAGUUGGUGCCCUUAGGGUAAAAUGAGGAAAGUCUCUGCAGUAUGAUUUAUUGUAUUUUUUUCCUUUUUUUUAGCCUAGCCAGAACAUCAUUAUAAUUUUAAACUUAAGACCAUAAGAUGGCUUUUAUUAGAUGAUAACUAAAUAAACUGAACUAAGUAGCCAGAAGACAGUACCUUAGAGACAGAUAGUUGUAAGUUUAUAAAAAUACAAAUGUAACUUAUAUUUCCAUUUUCCUAUUUGCCCCUUUGUUUAUUUUUCCCUAAUAGAAAUAUUCU